GCGGAUAUAGUUUACACAAAACACUAGAUUGUGAAUCUAGAGACAGAAUAUAAAAACUCUUAUCCACC
This 68-nucleotide transfer RNA is filed under the name Tamandua mexicana (Mexican collared anteater). Its description in RNAcentral is "tRNA-His". It matches the Rfam family "tRNA". Rfam says of the family: Transfer RNA (tRNA) molecules are approximately 80 nucleotides in length. Their secondary structure includes four short double-helical elements and three loops (D, anti-codon, and T loops). The record is from RNAcentral. Lineage: Eukaryota; Metazoa; Chordata; Mammalia; Pilosa; Myrmecophagidae.